AUGGCUCAGGAUGAACGCUAGCGACAGGCUAACACAUGCAAGUCGAGGGGCAUCGACGGGAGUAGCAAUACAACUGGUGGCGACCGGCGCACGGGUGAGUAACGCGUAUGCAACCUACCUAUCAGGAGGGGAAUAACCCGGCGAAAGUCGGACUAAUACCGCAUAAAACAGGGGCACCGCAUGGUGAUAUUUGUUAAAGAAAUUCGCUGAUAGAUGGGCAUGCGUUCCAUUAGGUAGUUGGUGAGGUAACGGCUCACCAAGCCGACGAUGGAUAGGGGAACUGAGAGGUUGGUCCCCCACACUGGUACUGAGACACGGACCAGACUCCUACGGGAGGCAGCAGUGAGGAAUAUUGGUCAAUGGGCGGGAGCCUGAACCAGCCAAGUCGCGUGAAGGAAGAAGGAUCUAUGGUUCGUAAACUUCUUUUGCAGGGGAAUAAAGUGCAGGACGUGUCCUGUUUUGUAUGUACCCUGAGAAUAAGGAUCGGCUAACUCCGUGCCAGCCGCGGC
RNAcentral lists this ribosomal RNA (509 nucleotides) under uncultured bacterium. Its description in RNAcentral is "bacterial SSU rRNA". It matches the Rfam family "Bacterial small subunit ribosomal RNA", at positions 19 to 518 of the family's 1533-position model. The record is from RNAcentral.